RNAcentral lists this long non-coding RNA (222 nucleotides) under Pelobates cultripes (western spadefoot toad). Lineage: Eukaryota; Metazoa; Chordata; Amphibia; Anura; Pelobatidae. The record is from RNAcentral.
UGCAGCCCUAUUUAUACGGACAACCCUUUACACUACUCACGGAUCACAACCCGUUGGUGUGGCUGAACAGGGUGUCAGGAGACAAUGCCAGGCUGCUGCGCUGGAGUUUGGCGCUGCAGCCUUUUGACUUUACAAUACACUAUCGCCCUGGGAAGCAAAAUGGCAAUGCCGAUGGGUUGUCCAGACAAACAGACUUGGAGCCGUGAUCCGUGAGUACUCCUC